Heterocephalus glaber (naked mole-rat) is the source of this 325-nucleotide non-coding RNA. The record is from Rfam. NCBI's taxonomy places the organism in Eukaryota, Metazoa, Chordata, Mammalia, Rodentia, Bathyergidae.
GAAUGUGAGGCCAAUCUGGCUUCAACAUCUGCCACCGCUUUGAUCGCCAGGGUUGAUUCGGCUGAUCUGACUGGCUUGGGUAGGUGUCCCCUCCCUCACUGCUCCAUGUAUGUCCCUCCCGAAGCUACGAGCUUGGUGGAAGAGGGCAACCGCCCCGAUAGAGGAGGACCAUUUCCUCAGUUAAGGGUAUAUGAGUAGCUGCGCUUCCCUGCUAAGACCUCCGAACAAGCUGUCAAAAAUACUAUCUCUGUAGUAACCAUGACAGGGUUAAAACAGCUUCUUUCUGGGCCGGGGAUUUAGCUCAGCAGUUUCGCCGCCUGCUGCA